AUUGAACGCUGGCGGCAGGCUUAACACAUGCAAGUCGAGCGAGCGGCGGACGGGUGAGUAAUGUAUGGGAAACUGCCUGAUGGAGGGGGAUAACUACUGGAAACGGUAGAUAAUACCGCAUACCAUCAGAUGUGCCCAGCUGGGAUUAGCUAUUAGGUGGGGUAAUGGCUCACCUAGGCGACGAUCCCUAGCUGGUCUGAGCGGAGGACCAGACACACUGGAACUGAUACACGGUCCAGACUCCUACGGGAGGCAGCAGUGGGGAAUAUUGCAGAAUGGCCGCAAUCCAGAUGCAGCCAUGCCGCGUGUGUGAAGAAGGCCUUCGGGUUGUAAAGCACUUUCAGCGAGGAGGCGUUACUCGCAGAAGAAGCACCGGCUAACUCCGUGCCAGCAGCCGCGGUAAUAC
This 406-nucleotide ribosomal RNA is filed under the name uncultured bacterium. RNAcentral's name for it is "partial 16S ribosomal RNA". It matches the Rfam family "Bacterial small subunit ribosomal RNA", at positions 30 to 526 of the family's 1533-position model. The record is from RNAcentral.